Molecule: ribosomal RNA, 253 nt
Filed under: uncultured bacterium
Lineage: Bacteria
Description: partial 16S ribosomal RNA
Rfam family: Bacterial small subunit ribosomal RNA
Source: RNAcentral
UACAGAGGGUGCGAGCGUUAAUCGGAAUUACUGGGCGUAAAGCGCGCGUAGGCGGCUUUGCAAGUCGGGUGUGAAAUCCCCAGGCUUAACCUGGGAACUGCAUUCGAGUCUGCAUUGCUAGAGUAUGGGAGAGGGAAGUGGAAUUUCCGGUGUAGCGGUGAAAUGCGUAGAUAUCGGAAAGAACACCAACGGCGAAAGCACUCUGCUGGGCCGACACUGACACUGAGAGACGAAAGCUAGGGGAGCGAAUGGG